This 478-nucleotide ribosomal RNA is filed under the name Listeria monocytogenes. RNAcentral describes it as "partial 23S ribosomal RNA". It matches the Rfam family "Bacterial large subunit ribosomal RNA", at positions 408 to 888 of the family's 2925-position model. The record is from RNAcentral. Lineage: Bacteria; Bacillati; Bacillota; Bacilli; Caryophanales; Listeriaceae.
CUGAGUACGGCGGAACACGUGAAAUUCCGUCGGAAUCCGGGAGGACCAUCUCCCAAGGCUAAAUACUCCCUAGUGACCGAUAGUGAACCAGUACCGUGAGGGAAAGGUGAAAAGCACCCCGGAAGGGGAGUGAAACAGUUCCUGAAACCGUGUGCCUACAAGUAGUUAGAGCCCGUUAAUGGGUGAUAGCGUGCCUUUUGUAGAAUGAACCGGCGAGUUACGAUUUGUUGCAAGGUUAAGCGGAAAAAGCGGAGCCGUAGCGAAAGCGAGUCUGAAUAGGGCGCAUAAGUAACAGGUCGUAGACCCGAAACCAGGUGAUCUACCCAUGUCCAGGAUGAAGGUAAGGUAAUACUUACUGGAGGUCCGAACCCACGCACGUUGAAAAGUGCGGGGAUGAGGUGUGGGUAGCGGAGAAAUUCCAAUCGAACUUGGAGAUAGCUGGUUCUCUCCGAAAUAGCUUUAGGGCUAGCCUCGAGGU